UACGUAGGGUGCAAGCGUUGUCCGGAAUUAUUGGGCGUAAAGAGCUCGUAGGCGGUCUGUCGCGUCGAAUGUGAAAACCCGGGGCUCAACCCCGGGCCUGCAUUCGAUACGGGCAGACUAGAGUUCGGUAGGGGAGUCUGGAAUUCCUGGUGUAGCGGUGAAAUGCGUAGAUAUCAGGAGGAACACCUGUGGUGUAGACAGCUUACUGGACCACUUCUGACGCUGAGACACGAAAGCGUGGGUAGCAAACAGG
Molecule: ribosomal RNA, 253 nt
Filed under: uncultured bacterium
Lineage: Bacteria
Description: partial 16S ribosomal RNA
Rfam family: Bacterial small subunit ribosomal RNA
Source: RNAcentral